UUGAUCCACGAGAGAUUGACAGGCAGGAGUCUUGGGACUGGAACAAGACGUAGGGGGCUGUGGUACAUGGACUGUUGCAUGCCGGACUAGGAAGGAUGGGACAUGCUAGCUGCAGUUGCUGAGGACAAGGAGACUAGAGCAUUGAUCCAUCACUGUAGGAUGGGACAUGUGUCUUUUGACAAAACAUAUCAAGUAUUUCCUGAUGUAAUGAGUGGUGUGGACAAGAGCAAGCUGAAAUGUGAUGCGUGUGAGUUUGCUAAACAUACCAGAAACUCAUAUGUGAGUAAGGGGAUCAAGAGCAUAUCUCCUUUUGUGUUGAUCCACUCUGAUGUAUGGACCUGUCCAGUGUUAUCUGUGAGUGGUAUGAAGUACCUCGUUACGUUCAUUGAUUGUCAUUCUCGGAUGACUUGGGUCUAUCUUCUGAAACAUAAAGAUGAAGUGUUUCAGUGUUUCAAUUUAAUGUGA
RNAcentral lists this ribosomal RNA (465 nucleotides) under Triticum aestivum (bread wheat). Its description in RNAcentral is "partial small subunit ribosomal RNA". Lineage: Eukaryota; Viridiplantae; Streptophyta; Magnoliopsida; Poales; Poaceae. The record is from RNAcentral.